RNAcentral lists this long non-coding RNA (7758 nucleotides) under Oryza sativa (Asian cultivated rice). RNAcentral describes it as "long non-coding RNA (OSAT_LNC000968)". The record is from RNAcentral. Lineage: Eukaryota; Viridiplantae; Streptophyta; Magnoliopsida; Poales; Poaceae.
AUAAAUAAAGUUUCAUAUAUGCACAUAGUUAAGAGGUACCAUUAUUUCCCAAUAAAGCUAGUACCUACAAACACUUGACGACAACACGUGCCCCUAGGGAAAACCCGAUGAGAGUGACAGGCCUAGAAAUCCCAGUAAAAAUUAAGUUCCAUUGAGAAAUGAAGUCUACUGGAUUGUACAUUCUAGGCAGAGAAUUACCUGCUUCCUUGCAAUCCCUUGAGCAGCACUUCAGCAAGCAUUUUCCCAGUCUUAUCUGCCCUGGAAACGUCUACUCGAUUAAUUUCUUGUGCGCUCAUGUAUUUUUGGAAAGGAUAAAAAAAUGAUUAAUGCAUACAUUACAGCUUAAGUUUGUUGCAUUCUUUCCUUUUUAUCAUUGCUCAUUAGUUUCAAGAUAAUAGUACUCUCUGUUAUGUUUUCAGUUUUUGUACAACUAAUGAAUUAAAAGAAGACCAGUUUUGUACUGAAAAGGGAAAAAUGCAUCAGCAUUACUGCAUGUCCUGCCAAGACAGUACACAGAUACUAAUUGAUUUCUAGCAGGAUUAAUUGAUCUCUAUGUUUGGUAAUGUGCAAUCAGAUAUAUGUGCAAUUGCAUAAAUUUUCACAUGGACUAAACUCUUAUUCUUUUUUCUGUUAAUCAGGGAACUCUAGUUUGCUCUCCACAUGCCAUGUCUGAGGUAAUACUACAUCUAAGUCCACCUCAAAAGGAAGCUAUCGAGGAUUCAGGUCUUGGCAACUUGCUAAAGAUUAAAAAAAAUACAUAUUUACCGGGACUUGUGCAAUGAGAUUGCAAGAAGCUACGACAAGGAGAAGAAAGCAUUCAAUAUUAAUGGUACGUUCGUAACGAUGACACUCGAUGAUGUCGAUUGUUUGCUUGGACUGCCAUCGAAAGGAGAUGAGAUAUUUGAGGCACCAAAAAUCAAUAAACCUGAAUUGUUCAACCUGUACAAAAAGGAAGGACAAACAACAAUUACUUUAGAAGCAUUACGGGAAGCAAUAAUCAACUCCUCGAGCUACGAUGACCACUUCAUUCGAAGAUUUAUUCUUUUCUCAAUUGGAUCCUUCAUAUGUCCUACAACUCAAUGAUAUGUGCGCUCAGAAUAUCUCAAUCUCGUCGAUGACGUUGACAAAAUGAGGGAACUAAACUAGUCUAGUCUAACCCUGAAUCAGUUACUGAAAGGCAUAUUAAAAUUUAGAGAGAAGGAAACAAACAUUGAGGGGAACGUAUGCCUCUUACAGGUUCGUUUCAAAACAAUGCACAAAUUGAGUAUGUUUACAAAAUUGACAUUAACAUAUUUUCAUAGCAAUACUCAUUAUCUUAUGUACAAAUGCUUACAGAUUUGGUAUUGGGAAAAAGUGCGAAUAGAUAAAUUGCCUGCGACAAUAUAUCAUUCUGGCCGUCAAAGGCCUUUAAUUUAGUACUGGGACAAAAUAAAAGAAAAAAAAAUGACUUUCUUACCUUUUUGGAAAAGGGAAGGUAACUAUCUCAUUUUUAAUACUAUGCACUAAUUAUAUCAAUUGUCUGUAAAAUCUCUAAUACACCUUUUUGACUAAAACAUAGGUUGUCGACGACAUUAGGGGAACUAUAGAUUGCAAUGAAAUCCCCGAUGAAAAAGCACACGACAAUGACUCAGAAACACGUAGCAAUGAAGAUUUUCUAUGCACUUCUGAAGAGGUACAUAUUAUGGGGUUUUAAUACAAACUCUAUUUAACAAAAUAUGUUUGACAUCCUUUUCUCACUUGUGCUAUUCAGGUACACUCUAUAACAUCCACUGAACAAUCAGCCGAUAUGACUUUACAAGAAAGGAUACAAUAAAGCAUCCAAACUUUACAAGAUAAUUUCAACGAUUUCACAAAGGAUUUUUGGCCACGUAUGCGAUCAUUGAUACUAGAUUGCAUGGAAAAUGUUUCAAAAUGCCUAGAACGAAAAGAUACUACGCAUGUGUUUGAGGUAAAGAUGAUAAUCUAGACUGUUAAUCAUUAUUACUUACGUAACACCGCUAAAAAAAGGUUGACGCUAUUGGAAGAUGUUGAACAAGAACAAAUUGAUCCCAGGGUGCAUGUAUCAAAUCAUAAACGAAGAGUCCUAUAUAAACCAAAAUAUAAACAUGACUUGUGAAACGAAGGUAAACUGAAUUUUAAUUCUAGCAUGCACUUUGUUACCUAACAGGACAACAGUAACCAGAGCAAUCAAAGCAGGAAGAGACUUACAGGUCCUACAGGAAGAACAUACAAACCGACUAAUCGGACUGACUUCAUCUACGAAACAAGGGGUAAAAAGAAGGACAUAAUCAGAACCCAAGCACAGACAAAGAAAACAAUAGGUACUAUGCUAUUUAAUAGUUUGCUCAUGUCAAUGGUACUAACUUUCGUCCUUUUCAAGUGCAAACGGAAAAAGAAGCUAGCUUGCCAGACACAGACGAAUUACGGGGUGAAAAGAAGAGGAAACAAAACAACCAAACACCGAAUGAAAUAUCUGAAUGUAUGAACUCUCUACAUCAUCCAUAUUUUUUUACUUAUAUUCUAUGUUUGUGUGUCACUGAUUUGACUUACCCUUUUCUAGUGUACAUCGAGAAGGAAGAUCUUACCCAAAAAAUCAUAGACAAAGGCCCACCAAAGAAAGCCUUACGAGGUCAAAAGAAGAAAAAAACAAAUGGCCAGACACCGUUAAAAAAUUCAGAAGGUAAUGCCUAACCAUUUAACAUUUCUAUAGAUCUAUUACUAAUUUGUCCUACCUUCGUAGAGUUGACUAAAAAAGAAGACCCUUUCAUUACCUACAUUAAUAACACGGAGGAUAACAAAGUGAUGGUGCAUAUUGAAGAAGUGGAGGUUAAACGGAUAAGAAUGAAAGUACUAACACAACCAGAAUUCUUGAAUGAUGAUGUAAGUUCACCUAUUUAACAAGCCUCCUAUUCUUUUAUAACUAUAUUUAUUAUGUAACUCAACUAACCUCAAAUUCAGGUCAUGGAUGCAUACAUCCAAUGCCUCCACUAUAAAGAGAAAGGAAUCAGGGGAGAUGGUAAGGCCUUCCUAGAGAUGGCCAUUAAAACAGGUCUACUAAAUGUAGAGGGAGCGCAUGUCGAAGCAAGCAAACCUCGAGAUAAAUGAUGGAUUAGAGAUAUGGCAUGCGACUAUCUAGCAUUUGACAUGGUAAUACUUAUUUAAGCUAUCUAUGUAAUGGCUAAUUCAAUUUAUGACUCUAUGUUAGUGUUGAACAUCUGCAGAUUUUCCUCCCAAUUAUAUUAAAGAUACACACUGGUACCUAGCCGUUCUUAACGCCAAGCGACAUAAGGUGCAAAUACUAGAUUCGCUCGCAAAGCCAAUCAGGAAAGAUCGACCCGAUCUAAGGCGUGUGGUAAGCGAUACACUUCCACUUGUAUAAUUCAAAUCGGUUUUGCUAUGUUUUAACUGUACCAACGUUGCACAAAACUUCCUGGCUGCUAGCUAUCGAAAGGGGAUUACACGGGACAGAGAAUCAACACCCACAGUUAAAACAUGAUUGGCCUGAUUUCAAUAUUACCGAAUGGGAAUACAACAAAGUCCAAAAAUUGCCAAAGCAAGGAGACGGGUGGGUGACUCAAACUCUUCCACAUGAUAUUCACAUUAUUCAAUUACGGAAACGUGUUAGCCUAACGUAGGGUUGAAAACGGUAGCGGUAAUUACCGGCCGACCGGGCUACCGCAACCGAAUUUGACCGACCGAACGCUACGGAAACGGUAAAUGUUGGAAUCGGAAACGGAAACGGUAAAAAAUAUGGAAAUGAUAUCGGAAAUGGUUUGGUAAUUUACCGACCGUUUUGUGCGGUUACCGUAUUAUACCGGUAAUUACCGUAUAUAUACUCCGGUAAAUUACCGUUUUACAAACAUCCCAGGCUAGAGCCCAAGUUAUUUUUCUUUGGCCCAUUUUCUCAGCCCAACAAUAACCCUAAAUUGAUAAAAUCCAUAACCCUAGAGCUCCUCGACUGCUCGGCUGCUCCGACUCCAACCAGCGCUGUCGUACUCGUACCGUCGUACGCAUCGGCGACACGGAGCCACCAACGCAGCGGCGCGGCGGCGCGGCGUCGCCAAGGUGGCAGCGCGGCGGCGCCAACGCAGAGGCGCGGCGGCUCCAACACAGCGUCAGCUCCCAUCCGUUCCCAACCCUCCUGUCCCCCAGAGACGAUGGAGCCAGCUGGCGAAGCUUCGUCACGACGUCGCGUCCUGUUGGGGCCGCCCCCACCACCUCACGGCAGCAAUGCCUCUAGCACGCCAUCGGGGAGCUUGCUGGCCGGCUCAGCCUCUGCUAGUCCAGGUGAAAAACUCCUUCUCUGUAGCCUAUUGAUACAUGUAUUGAGAUGAAAACAGAUGCAUGGGUGUUUGAUUUAGCAUUUGAGAUUUAAUUUAAACAAAACGGUUUGAUUUGGUAGGCGCAAGUCAGGCUUUAAUGCGUUUAUCUACAUCAUCUACAUCUGGAACACCUGUAUCUGUUGAAGUUGCACAUGCAACUAAUGGCACCGAUGGAAGUGGCACGCAGACAGAAGGUGCAAAUGUUGUAGCUGGUGAUGAUACAGUUGUUGAAGAAAAUGAUAACCAUGAUGAGUUGCAUUCGGCAAAGAAGCACAAGAAGUGCACAUCUGAUGUCUGGGAGUAUUUCACUAAGUACACAAAGACAGUAGAGAUUAAUGGCAAAUUGGUUGAAGAGAAGUGGGCAAAGUGCAACUUUAAAGGGUGUAGAGCUCCUUCUGGCAAUAAUAGAUGUGAGAGCAACAGGGGAACAACUGGAUUUUGGAAUCAUUUGAGCAAAUAUCAUAGUGUGGAUAAAAUACAAUUGCAAUUGAAAACAGGAAAGGAUGCUGCUAAGGACAUCACUUUUGUUGAACCAUUCAGGUAUGAUCAGGAAGUUAGCUUAAGAAAGUUUUAUCUGGCAAUAAUCAUGCAUGAGUACCCUUUCAAUAUAGCUGAGCAUGAAUAUUUUGUUGACUUCAUUAAAUCCCUACUCCCUAACUUUCCAAUUAAGUCCCGGGUCACUGUUAGAAAAGAAAUCUUAGGCAUAUAUCUGGAAGAAAAGAACAAAUUGUAUGAAUGUCUGAAAUUUGUUAAAUCCCGCAUUUGUGCAACUAUGGAUAUGUGGACAUCAAACCAGAAUAAAGGAUAUAUGUGUGUCACUUUGCACUGGAUUGAUGAUAAUUGGCGUAUUCAGAAAAGGAUUACAAAUUUCAUCCAUGUAGAAGGACGACACACUGGUGUUAAGUUGUUAGAGACCUUUACUACAUGUCUAUUGAAUUGGUUUGUUUAGAAGAAAAUGUUUUCUUUGUCUUUGGAUAAUGCAUCUGCAAAUGAAGUGGCCGUUAAGGAUGUAAUUUGUGAACUCAAGAAGCAUGGUCCUUUACUAUGUGAUGGUUUGUUUUUUCAUGUUAGAUGUGCCAACCACAUUAUGAAUUUGAUUGCUAAAGAUGGUUUGCAAGAAAUAGCAACAACAAUUCAGAACAUUAGAUUGUUUGUGAUAUCUGUAAAGAACUCAACGGUGCAGUGGGAGGAGUUCUUGAAGUGUGCUUCUGAGUGUGAAUUGGACACAACCAGAGGACUCUCAACCGAUUGUUGUACAAGAUGGAAUGCAACUUAUAUGAUGUUGAGGGAUGCUUUGUAUUAUAAGAAAGCUUUUCAGAGGCUUACGAGUAAGGAAUGUUGCAAGUAUGAGAGCAUAUGCCCUCUCCCUGAACAAUGGGAAAAAGCAAGUAAAGUAUGUAUGUGCCUGAAAAAAUUCAGUGAUCUUACCAAUCUAUUCUCUGGUAUUUUAUAUCCUACAGCAAACUUAUUUUACAGAGGAUUUUGUGAAAUUAAGCUGUUGCUUACGUCUUGGAGUAGAGGCAAUGAUACCAUGGUUAAGAACAUGGCAGCAUCUAUGAAUACUAAGUUUGACAAAUAUUGGAAGAAGUCAAACACUGCUCUUGCUGUUGCAAGCUUUCUUGAUCCUAGAUUCAAGACAAUAAUUGUUCAUUUCUACAUGAAAAAGUUUUAUGGUGAUUUGCUUCAGGUUAAGUUUUUAUGCUGCUGCUGAUUCUCUCUACCAUAAUGACCAUGUAUGAUUUUUAUGUUGCUGCUGCACCCCCUCCAAAUAGUAAUGCACCUCAAUCUAGCAAUGAACCAGCUGUAGAAGAAGAUGCAAAUGAUUUUGAUAGUGAACUUGACAAGUACCUGUAUAAGAAGCAAACAAACCAAUCUCAGAUUGUUGGGAAUGAUCUGGAGAAAUACUUGGCAGAAGAACCUUUACUACUUGACAAAGCCAGUGAGAAUACAUUUGAUAUUUUAUUAUGGUGGAAGGACAAUGCAGAUGUUUAUCCUGUUCUCUCUUUGCUUGCUCGUGAUGUUCUUGCAAUGCAAGUGUUAACUGUUGCUUCUGAAUCUGCCUUUAGUGCUGGUGGCCGUGUCAUUGAUCCAUAUCGUAGCCGCCUUGAUCUUGAGAUUGUUGAAGCAUUGAUAUGUACCAAAGACUGGAUAGCUGCUGCAAGAAAAGGUGAAAAAAAUUAAAUCCUUCAUUUUCUUUGCAUGUAGGUGUAACAGAUCAGAACUACCUUGUUGAUUUAUCUCUAUUUGAACUUUGCAGAACGUAAUAAUGUUGCGUCAAUUGUGACUGAUCUUGAUGUCACAGAGUUACUUGCUGAAACAUUAAUGGUUGAGGUGAGUACAGAUCAGUUUGUUUCUUUGCUAGCAAUCUGAAUUUAAGAAUUAAUGCUAGUUAUUUACGUUAUGAAUUAUGUUCAUUGGGCUGAAAUUACAUUGCAACAUUAUAGAUGGAAGAAUAUAUGGACUCUGAUGAUUGAUUGAGGACUUGGGGAAUAAUUCAAGAAUAUGCCCAUGCUUUGAGUCUAUGGGACUAUGGCAAAUUUAUGUAAUGUACUAAUGUGAGACCCGGUGAUUCUUAUCCUGUCCAACAAUGUUAUUGUGGUUCUGUGGUUAUGGUUCUAGUGGACUUGCUAUGUUGUAUGUAUUUCUGUUGAAUGGAGUGAGUAUGAACUUUUGUUCUGCUCAAGCAAUCAUUCUAUUGCUAGCUAACUGUUAUUGUUCGAUGUUUCCGACAGUAAUUAUCGACUUCCGAUCGAUACCGACAUGUUUCCGAUUGAAUAAUUCCAUUUUUGAUUUACCGAUAUUUCCGUUAUCGUUUUCGUUACCGGCUUAUCAUUAUCGAUUCCAUUUCCGAAAAAUAAUAUGGUUGCGGUAAUGGUUUAGGGUGUUUCCCGAUCGUUUCCGACCGUUUUCACUCCUAGCCUAACGACUAAAUUCUUGUAGCGUCUCAUGUGGCCUGUACACCCUUAAGUUCAUGGAGCUUUGGAGCGGAUCUUAUCUCCCAGAAAUUCAAAUACAGGCAACUACAACGACCUCUAUUCAUAUUUUGCACCAAUGCUUCCCAUUUCGAAAAACAAUUUAAAAUGCACUCCCUUUACAUUAUGCAUAAGGAUGUGAAAACAUUUCGACAGGCCUUAGCCGGAAUUUUGAUCAACUCCGAACUGAACAAGAUUAAAGAUCGUCCACUGCUACCAACCACGACAUAAAUGGAUUAUAUGUCGAACAUUUACCACAAUUACCUAACUAUGCUCUCUUCCCCUUAUUAAAUCAUUUAGAUACUACUUGGGUAUUUGACGGAUCCCAAACAUUGAUGCCUUUUUGAGAUAAUAUUCAUAGUUCAUAUUUGAAUCCAUUUGAGAAGGAGCGGUAUAUGAAACCUUACACUUCGGGGUGACUCAGGGCAGUAAGUUGUCGACGUCACCGACGUGCAUCUGCUUCA